GAGGGUAUAGUGCAGCGGUAAAGUGCGUGCUUAGCAUGCAUGAAGUCCUGGGUUCAAUCCCCACUACCUCCA
RNAcentral lists this transfer RNA (72 nucleotides) under Camelus bactrianus (Bactrian camel). It matches the Rfam family "tRNA". From Rfam's summary of the family: Transfer RNA (tRNA) molecules are approximately 80 nucleotides in length. Their secondary structure includes four short double-helical elements and three loops (D, anti-codon, and T loops). RNAcentral also lists the same sequence under 1 other name. The record is from Rfam by way of RNAcentral. Lineage: Eukaryota; Metazoa; Chordata; Mammalia; Artiodactyla; Camelidae.